GGGUUGUGAGGUUAAGCGACUAAGCGUACACGGUGGAUGCCCUGGCAGUCAGAGGCGAUGAAGGACGUGCUAAUCUGCGAUAAGCGUCGGUAAGGUGAUAUGAACCGUUAUAACCGGCGAUUUCCGAAUGGGGAAACCCAGUGUGAUUCGUCACACUAUCAUUAACUGAAUCCAUAGGUUAAUGAGGCGAACCGGGGGAACUGAAACAUCUAAGUACCCCGAGGAAAAGAAAUCAACCGAGAUUCCCCCAGUAGCGGCGAGCGAACGGGGAGGAGCCCAGAGCCUGAAUCAGUGUGUGUGUUAGUGGAAGCGUCUGGAAAGGCGCGCGAUACAGGGUGACAGCCCCGUACACAAAAAUGCACAUACUGUGAGCUCGAUGAGUAGGGCGGGACACGUGGUAUCCUGUCUGAAUAUGGGGGGACCAUCCUCCAAGGCUAAAUACUCCUGACUGACCGAUAGUGAACCAGUACCGUGAGGGAAAGGCGAAAAGAACCCCGGCGAGGGGAGUGAAAAAGAACCUGAAACCGUGUACGUACAAGCAGUGGGAGCCUCUUUAUGGGGUGACUGCGUACCUUUUGUAUAAUGGGUCAGCGACUUAUAUUCUGUAGCAAGGUUAACCGAAUAGGGGAGCCGAAGGGAAACCGAGUCUUAACUGGGCGUUAAGUUGCAGGGUAUAGACCCGAAACCCGGUGAUCUAGCCAUGGGCAGGUUGAAGGUUGGGUAACACUAACUGGAGGACCGAACCGACUAAUGUUGAAAAAUUAGCGGAUGACUUGUGGCUGGGGGUGAAAGGCCAAUCAAACCGGGAGAUAGCUGGUUCUCCCCGAAAGCUAUUUAGGUAGCGCCUCGUGAAUUCAUCUCCGGGGGUAGAGCACUGUUUCGGCAAGGGGGUCAUCCCGACUUACCAACCCGAUGCAAACUGCGAAUACCGGAGAAUGUUAUCACGGGAGACACACGGCGGGUGCUAACGUCCGUCGUGAAGAGGGAAACAACCCAGACCGCCAGCUAAGGUCCCAAAGUCAUGGUUAAGUGGGAAACGAUGUGGGAAGGCCCAGACAGCCAGGAUGUUGGCUUAGAAGCAGCCAUCAUUUAAAGAAAGCGUAAUAGCUCACUGGUCGAGUCGGCCUGCGCGGAAGAUGUAACGGGGCUAAACCAUGCACCGAAGCUGCGGCAGCGACACUAUGUGUUGUUGGGUAGGGGAGCGUUCUGUAAGCCUGUGAAGGUGU
RNAcentral lists this ribosomal RNA (1226 nucleotides) under Escherichia coli. RNAcentral's name for it is "partial 23S ribosomal RNA". It matches the Rfam family "Bacterial large subunit ribosomal RNA", at positions 1 to 1259 of the family's 2925-position model. The record is from RNAcentral. Lineage: Bacteria; Pseudomonadati; Pseudomonadota; Gammaproteobacteria; Enterobacterales; Enterobacteriaceae.